CUAAAUGUGAAUUAUAUUUACCAAACACUGAAUUAUUCAUCAGCUUGAAGAAGUUCUUCUCAAACGUUGAUUUUGCAUUUUGUCUCAUUGCUGUGUUGAAUUCUACGUAAGGUUUCAUAAAAUCUUCUUGUUGAAAUCCAAGCACACGAUGUAUUUUUUUCAAUUUCAGACCAAGUUGAAGGUACAAUUGCAAGUUUCGAUAAUGUAAAACAUAUUUGUGUUUGUCUUCAAGAGUGCAUUGCCGACCAACUUAAACCAGGACUUGUAUAAAAAUGGCAUGGAUCAAGAUGAUAGCAUUGUUGGGACAUAUUCCGAAAUUCUUCGAAAACAUCAGCCAGCAAUAACACAUCAGUUUUAAGGGCUGCUUGGACUCUGAGCAUAGUUGUGAUCAAACGUUGGUUGUAGUGGUGUGGAUUGUGUUGCCGCUAGCGAAGAUGUCUCUGAAGGUGUCUCCGAGUCGUCUGCAUUUAUGUUCUUUGCUGAAAUGGACGAAACACAAUCAAUGUCUGAGAAGGGAAUAUGUCAGUACGAAGUUUAUAAAGCUGGUUUGAGUGAGGACUCACAUCAACAA
Mya arenaria is the source of this 571-nucleotide long non-coding RNA. RefSeq lists it as uncharacterized. The record is from RefSeq and is a predicted model, not a curated record. The transcript is spliced from 4 exons. Lineage: Eukaryota; Metazoa; Mollusca; Bivalvia; Myida; Myidae.